Long non-coding RNA from Amaranthus tricolor (Joseph's coat), 508 nucleotides. RefSeq lists it as uncharacterized. Lineage: Eukaryota; Viridiplantae; Streptophyta; Magnoliopsida; Caryophyllales; Amaranthaceae. The record is from RefSeq and is a predicted model, not a curated record. The transcript has 3 exons.
GAGAAACUAUCAGACGCCCUAGGUAGUUUCGUCACAUGGCCAUAUGCUUGGGUCCGAUUCACUAACAUGCAAAAGAGUCCAAAGGGAUCUUGUAGAGAGGUCGGUUCCUCAACAAAGGUGUCGACUGGGUCAAAGUCGAUGCCAAGCACUCCAAUUUUGACUGAUGAGGAGCUAAAAGAUCUCUCUUAAGAUUGCAAAUGGCUGCAUUAUUGUGCAUCUCGCAUAAGUGAGGAGGACCCAAUCAUGUUGCCCCUGCUGAAGGAGCAAUACUGCUUUUCAGAAGACCCGUAUGUAAUUAUUGGUCCUAGUGACAUCGGGCAAUUUUUGAGAGGAGAGAUGCUGAACGUAGCUCUUUUCCAUGUCUACAUGAGUGCGGUUUACGAGGAGGUAAAUUCUUGCGAACCUCCAAUAAAAAUUGGAUGGUUUUGUCCGGAGACGAUUUCGGGUAGUAAAUGUAGAAAUGAUCCAGAUGUCGUCAGAGCAUACAUUGAGACUGCUUUGACUAAUU